CAAAUACGUCACUUAUAGAAACAUAUUUAAUUAAUAACAAUCCCACAUUUUAUUUAUAUAAGUAGGUAUAAUGUAAGGUCAAUUAUAAAACAAUAUCGAUUUGUUUGCAACAAAUCAAGACCAUAUCAAAGUACUCAAAUAAUAAUAUGUAUUAUACUCUCGAAAAUAACUACAACUGGUAAAUCCUGACUAACGCAGAACAAUUCAAUUUUUUAAUUUUUUUUAAAGGACAACAAAAUGAAUUUAAGUUUCCAAAAAGGUACCAUCUUUGUCAACUCGUUGGAUAAAUGAAUAACAUAAUGUUAUUCCCGGAUUUCCAAAUCUGUCUUCAUAGAUUAUAACGACACAGUCCCCCACAGAUCUACUUGACAGACUAACGAAUUGUUCGCUUUGGAACGUAAUUAUAUUUAUACGUGUCAGAAUAAAUUCAACUGUAAUUAUUUAAAAACCCUACAGAGUAACGAACAAACGAAAUAAGUACCUAAUUUAUAUUACGUUGAAACUUUUAAAAAGCGUGAAAAAAUAAAACUCCAAGUAUCAAGAUCCCUGUCAAGUAUCUGGGGCUAAAUGUAACACCAAUUUAUAUAAAAUAAUAUAUUUUUAUGUUUUUCUUAGAUACAGACAUAAUAUAGUACCUACUCGAAUAUUGUAUACGAUAUAUUUCAAAAUACUAACUUCAGCCCCUAAAUAAAUAAGUACAUAAUAUCAUCAGUUAUUCAAAUUGUUAAGAUUGUUUUUAAGGUACCCAUACUUAAUGGUUAAUUUCAUAACGAAUGAUGGCAAUAAGUAUUUAUUAAUUUAAAAUAUAAUGUAUAUUUUUUUUUUUAUAUUAAAAACAUAAUUAUCAUUACGCGUGCAAGUAAUAUUUUGUAAAGAUUAUGUUAUUGUCAAAAUCAACACUUAUAAAAAUAUAUAAUAAUUAUUAGACAGUAAAAUGAUGACUACGUCAAUCUAUUAUGUUGUAGUUUGUUUAUGAUAAAUUAAAUUACGAUGUACAUUGUACACUCGUAAUUAUAUUACAGUUGCGUUUGAGUACUGUAUUAAUACACCUACCUAUACUUGUUGAAAUACAAAUCAUAUUAUGUUAACCCAGCGAUAACUAAUUUGUAAACUAUCAUAAUUAACAUCAAUUUUUAUGUAAAAUAUAAUAUGGUUAAUUAGGUUUAAUUAGAAUUCAUGAUUCCAUCAACGGUGAAAAUUCAGUGUUGUAUUACAACAAAAUGCUGUCUAUCGUCUCCCAGAUUCAUUUAGGCCACUUUAACGCAAGGUCGGUGCUCUGAUGUUGCAAAAUUAUACGGCUACUCCUUCUCCGGAUUACACAACUCGCAACACGAUUCAGGUUCAAAACUUCGUUUCCUCUAAAGAUAAUAAUAUAAUUACUUCUUAUCAGACGCGGUGUAUAUUAUUGUACGCAAAUUUUUCGUUCUUCGACAUUCAAUUGGCCUAUUUAAGUUGGUUGGAGGAGGGCGCACGUUACGAGGCCCAAGACUAUAGUAUUUUCAGCUUAAGUUUAUUGUAUAAAGUGGUCGUUUGUAUUUUUUAUGUGGUGAAAAAUAUUACAUUUUAAGAUUUAUUUAUACUAUUUGUUCCAUGGAAGAUGAAGAGUUUCGAUAACCACUUCAAUAAUAAUGAUAUAUUGUUAUUGUAUCAAAUAUAUAUAUUAUUUAUAUCAUUAUUAUUAGCCACAAUUAAUCAGACAAAAUACGUAUGAACUAGGUAGAUAGAUACCGACUGAAACAAAAAAGCACUAUGA
Long non-coding RNA from Metopolophium dirhodum (rose-grain aphid), 1753 nucleotides. RefSeq lists it as uncharacterized. Lineage: Eukaryota; Metazoa; Arthropoda; Insecta; Hemiptera; Aphididae. The transcript is spliced from 4 exons. The record is from RefSeq and is a predicted model, not a curated record.